UGGGGAAUCUUGCACAAUGGGGGAAACCCUGAUGCAGCGACGCCGCGUGAGCGAUGAAGCCCUUCGGGGUGUAAAGCUCUUUCGGCAGGAACGAUUAUGACGGUACCUGCAGAAGAAGCUGCGGCUAACUACGUGCCAGCAGCCGCGGUAAUACGUAGGCAGCGAGCGUUGUUCGGAGUUACUGGGCGUAAAGAGUAUGUAGGCGGUUGCGUAAGUUCGGUGUGAAAUCUCCCGGCUUAACUGGGAGGGUGCGCCGAAAACUGCGUGGCUAGUGUGCGGGAGAGGAGAGCGGAAUUCCUGGUGUAGCGGUGAAAUGCGUAGAUAUCAGGAGGAACACCGGCGGUGUAGACGGCUCUCUGGACCGUUACUGACGCUGAGAUACGAAAGCGUGGGUAGCAAACA
RNAcentral lists this ribosomal RNA (402 nucleotides) under uncultured bacterium. RNAcentral's name for it is "bacterial SSU rRNA". It matches the Rfam family "Bacterial small subunit ribosomal RNA", at positions 355 to 774 of the family's 1533-position model. The record is from RNAcentral.